AAGUGAUAUGAUGGUAUACCAUCUUUCGGGACUGACUCUAACAAUGGAGACUAACCUUAAACCUACUGAUCACUU
Small nucleolar RNA from Cynoglossus semilaevis (tongue sole), 75 nucleotides. Ensembl annotates it as small nucleolar RNA SNORD2. Lineage: Eukaryota; Metazoa; Chordata; Actinopteri; Pleuronectiformes; Cynoglossidae. The record is from Ensembl.